UAAUGAUUCAUCAGACUCAGAU
Molecule: microRNA, 22 nt
Filed under: Macaca mulatta (Rhesus monkey)
Lineage: Eukaryota; Metazoa; Chordata; Mammalia; Primates; Cercopithecidae
Also listed under: 2 other names
Description: Mml-Mir-580_5p* (star (passenger))
Source: RNAcentral